This 2937-nucleotide long non-coding RNA is filed under the name Erythranthe guttata (spotted monkey flower). Its description in RNAcentral is "long non-coding RNA (EGUT_LNC000666)". Lineage: Eukaryota; Viridiplantae; Streptophyta; Magnoliopsida; Lamiales; Phrymaceae. The record is from RNAcentral.
CGGUGAGCCCAUAUCAUGAACAAGUCAAAAUUGCUAGGUUAAAAUAGUCUAUUUGUUAAGUUGGAGACAAAAUAGUAGGUACAAAUUUAUGUACCAUUAUAUCUCCAAUAAAAAAAAAAAAAAAAAAAAAAAAAAAAAAAAAACUAUUGUACCUAAAAUUUAGAGAGUAUUGCCUGAGAGAUCAUAGUUUUGUUUAUAUUUUCCGGCAGAUAUAGCGUUUCAAAUAAUUCACCUGUACGACAAGCUUCUCAACGCGGUAAACAUGCAUGGAUUAUCACCACUUCAUCUUCUGGCAAGCAAACCAUCUGCCUUCAGAAGUGGAAACCAUAUUAGAGGUUUCCAUAAACUUAUUUAUCAUUGUGAGUGUGUUUUUUUUCUCUACGUUUUUUUGUUAUUUUUAACUUCAAAUCCAAGAUAUUUGAAUCAGAGUGUGAAGGCAUAAAUAAUUAUUACAGAGUUAUCUUUGUAUAAACCGCAUGUUAUUUGUGAAGGUAUAUUUGUUGAUGAGCUGGAGCUAGAAUACAACCACACUCUAUCUGAAGGCCUUAACUACGAAGAAAACGCCGGAUAUCCAGAGAAUUAUCAGACCUGCGUAGGCUUCAUUUUCUUGCUGAGGAAUAUAAUAUGGGUACUGAGUAAGUAUCCAUGAAACAACUAUAUUCUUUUUUUUUUCUCCCUUCUUACAGUUAAAUAUAGAUUCUGUUAAUUAGUGUCUGCUUUAACUCACAACAGCACCGUAACUCCAUAACUAACGCCGUGGACCCGUCUUUUUUCUUUCUGAAGUUUUAAACUUUUCCAGCUAGUUCCAAAUAUAUUAGACACGACAACAAAAUCGAGCUUUUAAAAAUCCUGGAAUUUGUGUCAUAUUUUACAUUAACAAUUUCCCAUUUCCAUGUACGUAGAGACUAAAAGUAUAUAGUAUUUUCAUGUUCUAUUAUUCUUCCCAGUGGGUCACAGCAGUCAACAACAAGAUUCAAAGAAUCCAAAGGGUCAGAGACAUGUUAAUAAACAAGGUGAAGGUUUCUGUUGGAUUCCGUAGCUAGAAAAUACGAUUUAUGGAUGUCUAUAAGAUAUGGUAUCUGUGUUUUGUAGGAAGUAUUGUGUCUGAAGACAAUGUUGUUGGCAAAAAUCAAGAACUAGGUUAAAAGUUUUUUCGUCUUCUCUUUUCCUACAUAUAUAAUAUCUCUUUUGUUGACGCUCUAUUGCUUUUUUCCCUUUUCCAGUUGGCUCUAGUAAAAACACGAUGAACCAGCAAACAGAUCCAGAGGGGCAGCAAUCAUCUGAUCGUAAACUUAAAUUAACUUCAUAUAGACAAUACCUUAUUUCUACUGCACAUUCCAGAUUUUAAAUUAAGAUUUAUAUUAAAAGACAAACCUUAAAAUCGAGCUCGUCUUAUUCUGUUCAGCAGACGCAUCCAGCAGACCCAAAGCUCAAGGACAUCAAUUAUUUCCGGAGAACUACUUCACAUGCUUUCAUGGUCUCAAAUCUUUGUCCAAAGCAAUGCUGGUGAUUCUUGGCUUAGGUAAGCCUCCUACAAACUGAAAAAAAAACAUUUUCAUAAACUCAUUAGAAAUGGCUGAAUUUGAUUUCUCCUGCAAAACAAGGGUCGAUGCAAAUAGUAAAGCUCCGAGAGAAGAAGGAGAAGCAUAUAUGGUCAGUCCAAAUCAUGGAAAAAUUGCUCGAUCAUGCAGCUUCCUAUGAAUACGAAGACAAUGGAAGGACCCCACAACAUUUACCACCACGAAUAAAAGAAACAACACCUUAUGCCCUCGUUGAUGGUUACACUGUUAAUUUCAGGACUCAUUUCCUGAUUCGGAAAUGUUAAAUGUCGUUUCAAUUUCACUAAUACCAUUUUGACUUCAAAUGUGAUUAUGACUGUUUUCGAGUCUAUUUUGGUUAAAUUCAAAGCAUGAAACAUGUAGUCCUCUAAGUUAGCUUUUUAAUCCAACUUGAAUCAGGCUAGAUUGGAUGUCGGCUGACAAAAUUAUGCAUGAAUGAGUUACUGUUUGAGUUAAAGAUAACUCAAAACAUCAAAAUUGUAGGCGGUGUUCAUUAUAUCAUUCAUAUCUUUCUCACCCGACAUCAAAUAUUUGUUGAUUCAAGUUUGAUAAGAAAGCCAACUUAAAGAACGACAAAUCCCGGCGUUUUGACUUUUGCCAAAUUCAAACCCGAAACUGGUAAAAAUCACAUUUGAAGUCCGAAAGAUACUAGUAAAAAUAAAACGGCAUUUAUCAUCUCCCUUUCUGAUUUUGCCAGCCCUAGAAACAGACUGAAGUUGUUACUAACUAUUCUGCAGAUGAAAGAAAGACAGAUGUGGAAAUGGAGAAGAGAGAAACACCGAUUCUUAUUGCGGCAAGGAAUGGCAUAACUGAAAUAGUGGCUAAGAUCCUCGAACUAUUUCCGGUGGCCAUACACGACAUGAACAAUGAGAGGAAGAAUGUAGUUCUGCUUGCGGUUGAGAACAGGCAGCCACACGUGUACGAAUUCUUAAUGAAACGAAAAAUAAUGAAAGAAACCAUUUUCCGCAAAAUGGACAAAGAUGGCAAUAGUGCUCUGCAUCUUGCAGCAAUGUUGGGUGAAAACAAACCCUGGCUCAUCCCAGGUGCUGCACUGCAGAUGCAAUGGGAAAUUAAGUGGUACGAGGUACGAAGAUCGAUUCGUUUUUUUUUUCUUGGCACGAAAAUAAAAUGAAUUUGAUUCUUCUGAAAAAAAAUAAAAAAUGUUUAUGCUUGGUUUCGAUUGAAAUGCAGUUUGUGAAGAAUUCAAUGCCGAUGCACUUUUUCAUACGGUACAACCAGAAGGGGCAAACGCCGAGGGAAAUAUUCAGUGAAUCUCACCAGAAACUGCUCAAGGAGGGCGGAGAGUGGCUGACGAGCACCUCCGAGUCGUGCUCGGUGGUGGCGGCGCUGAUUGCAACGGUGGCGUUCGCGACCUCAG